This is a long non-coding RNA of Pygocentrus nattereri (red-bellied piranha), 1625 nucleotides long. RefSeq lists it as uncharacterized. The transcript is spliced from 5 exons. NCBI's taxonomy places the organism in Eukaryota, Metazoa, Chordata, Actinopteri, Characiformes, Serrasalmidae. The record is from RefSeq and is a predicted model, not a curated record.
UGUGUAAAAAAUGAUCAAAUUGUAAAUCGCUCUGGAUAAGAGCGUCAGCCAAAUGCCGUAAAUGAUGCCAUGACAGUGAACACAAAUGUUGAAUGACCAGCACUUUUGUGGUCAUUCACUUGAAUCACAGCUGUCAGACCAAAAGCAGCAGGAAGCUUAUUCGUCUCACUUCAUCUGAUGUCCCACCUUUUCUGAACUUGUCAGAACAUCUUCAGCCUACAGCAGGUGUAUAUAUUUUAAUAGCCACCUGUUUCUACAGGUGAUAGUAAAGGGAACAGACUUUCAAAAGCACAUCUGACUGUGAGGAUUUACAGUAGAGUCUGAGGUUGUUCAGGUUAUUGGAGUCAUUAGCAUCUUGCUGUUAGCUUAGCUAAUGCGGUGACGGGUAAUGAAUUCUGCGAUUAAAAUUUUUGCUCUUUUGCGUGAACAUGUUUUGAAUUAAAGUAAUGUUGUUGAGGCGAAAGAACGUCCUGUGGUACACAAGCCAAGCUGAAGCCAUAAAAUCGACCAGUCGUUCACCGACAAACCGUAGAGUAAGACGCUUUUUCUGGAGCUCCUACAGACCGACACUUGCGAUGAUACGUUAGCAAAUACUUUUUCUAGCGCAACGACAAAAAACGGGGAAAGCAUACUUAACGACUCAUGUGGCUGACUGAGUGGAGAGUCCGUUUUCUGGUUGGUCAGUAGUCACAAAUUUAGAUUUUGUUAUCUGUUUUCUGUUAGGUCUUUAAGGAAGCUAGUACUCUGAACUGACUUUAGCCAAAAGCUAACGCUUUAAAAUCCUGGGGGUUACCACAGUAACUGAACGUCAGCGCUGCAUUUCAUUCAUGAGAAUUUGGUGAUUGAAGAUUACAGUUUCUCUUUAUGGUACACAGUCUAUUCUGUGGUCAUUUAAAUGUUUACAGAUAAACAAUUUAGACAUUUUAUUUGACCAUUUUGCUUAGGAAUGAACAUCUUUCUAUCCUCUGUCUUCAUUCCUCAGGUAAUCUUUCUCUCUUUGCAAUGUGAAAUGACUAAAGCUGUGGAGAAUCAUCUUGCUGACUUGAGGAAACUAUCUACAUAUCCCUGCCAUCCCUGCAGCAGACCUGCCACGACAUGAACAACGCACACAAGAUGUUCGUGCCCAUUUAUUCAGAGUGGACUUCGGGUGGCAGAAAGCUGGUGGAAGUGAAGCUUCAGCACACGGCCAUUUACAGCGGCCUGGAGUCUGAGCUCUGGUGGAUUUCUCAGCAAUGAGUUCUACCAUGUGCUCUCACUACAGCUUCCUCCCCUGCAUUUUGCCACUACUAGAGCUGUGGCCUGCUUCAAAGUAAAGCUAUAGAAUGACUUGGAUUAUAAAGCUUUUGGAAGCAGUUCGAUUUGAUUUUCAUGAACAUGUCCUCUGUUCAUUCAGCACACUGGAUCAUUCAUCAGAGAGGCCAAGAUCUACCUGCACGUUGUCGAGCAACAGAGUGUUUAGGGAGUUUCUAUUGGUCCGGAUGGCUACUUCAUUUGUCUCGACUCCAGAGAUGCCUGGACCCUUGAGGCACCGGCACCUUCUGUGUUUUCACCCAGGCCACCAGGACCACCUCCAGGAUUUCAAUCAGCUGCAGGACCCUUUAGACUUUUUCCUUAUUAUUUUAAUG